GAUGAACGCUAGCGGGAGGCUUAACACAUGCAAGUCGAGGGGCAGCAUAGGGUAGCAAUACUCUGAUGGCGACCGGCAAACGGGUGAGUAACGCGUAUGCAACCUACCCUGUACAGGGGGAUAACCCGGAGAAAUUCGGACUAAUAUCCCGUAAUAAUAUCCGGAGGCAUCUUUGGAUAUUUAAAGUUCCGACGGUACGGGAUGGGCAUGCGUAACAUUAGCUGAUUGGUAAGGUAACGGCUUACCAAGGCUAUGAUGUUUAGGGGUCCUGAGAGGGUGGUCCCCCACACUGGUACUGAGACACGGACCAGACUCCUACGGGAGGCAGCAGUGAGGAAUAUUGGUCAAUGGGCGCAAGCCUGAACCAGCCAUCCCGCGUGCAGGAAGACGGCCCUAUGGGUUGUAAACUGCUUUUCCAGGGAGAGAAACUUACGCACGUGUUGCGUGACUGACGGUACCCUGGGAAUAAGCAUCGGCUAACUCCGUG
RNAcentral lists this ribosomal RNA (487 nucleotides) under uncultured bacterium. Its description in RNAcentral is "bacterial SSU rRNA". It matches the Rfam family "Bacterial small subunit ribosomal RNA", at positions 28 to 507 of the family's 1533-position model. The record is from RNAcentral.